RNAcentral lists this ribosomal RNA (201 nucleotides) under Licmophora paradoxa. RNAcentral's name for it is "partial Bacterial large subunit ribosomal RNA". It matches the Rfam family "Bacterial large subunit ribosomal RNA", at positions 2067 to 2279 of the family's 2925-position model. The record is from RNAcentral. Lineage: Eukaryota; Bacillariophyta; Fragilariophyceae; Licmophorales; Licmophoraceae.
UACCCGCGGCUAGACGGAAAGACCCCGUGAACCUUUACUAUAGCUUCACAUUGGUAUUGGGUAAAUGAUGUGUAGGAUAGGCGGGAGACUUUGAAGCAGUGUCGCUAGGCAUUGUGGAGUCGUUGGUGAAAUACCGCCCUUUAUUUAUCUGAUGCCUAAUCCGGAGACGGAGACAGUGUGUGGUGGGUAGUUUGACUGGGG